UACGGGGGGAGCAAGCGUUGCUCGGAUUUACUGGGCGUAAAGGGCGCGUAGGCGGCGCAACAAGUCACUUGUGAAAUCUCCGGGCUUAACCCGGAGCGGCCAAGUGAUACUGUCGUGCUAGAGUGCGGAAGGGGCUACUGGAAUUCUCGGUGUAGCGGUGAAAUGCGUAGAUAUCGAGAGGAACACCUGCGGCGAAGGCGGGUAGCUGGGCCGACACUGACGCUGAUGCGCGAAAGCCAGGGGAGCGAACGGG
RNAcentral lists this ribosomal RNA (253 nucleotides) under uncultured bacterium. RNAcentral's name for it is "partial 16S ribosomal RNA". It matches the Rfam family "Bacterial small subunit ribosomal RNA", at positions 524 to 776 of the family's 1533-position model. The record is from RNAcentral.